This 411-nucleotide long non-coding RNA is filed under the name Canis lupus dingo (dingo). RNAcentral describes it as "lncRNA (ENSCAFG00020002666.1)". Lineage: Eukaryota; Metazoa; Chordata; Mammalia; Carnivora; Canidae. The record is from RNAcentral.
CUCGGAGGGAGAGCCCCUCUCUUUUUUCAAUGCGGGGCGGUUCCGCCCUGAUCCCUUGGAAGGCUUUGUUCUUUUGUUCCGGUCUAAGAGGAAGGAUCUGCACCCGGCCCCGCCCUGUCUGUCCACCUUCCAGCCUUUCCUCCCCGCAACAGGGCCGCCAGCCUGAGCGUGUGGAAGGGCUCCUGCUCUUUGCUGGACGGCUGAACCCCAGACCGAGGCCCCUGCUGGAAGGACGCUGCUCGGGAAACCCUCGUGUCCAGGCUCCGGAGGAACGGAAUGAGCUCCUGAGAUGGAAGACCCUUCCUCUCCGGAGCCUGCCCUCCUCCAAGCGGGACACACUUUACUUGCAUCAACCAGUUUUCAAGUAAGUUGGAAUUCCUGAAAUGCCAUCUUAGUCUGCACAAUGGAUUG